CAAGGCAACGAAGAGAACUCACCCUUGCCACCUGAGCUAACACCAUUUUUCGACAGGUCUGUUGUCAAAGGUCCUGAUGGACUUGACAUGUUAUAUUUGAACCAGUGGCUAGCUAGUAGCGGGUCAGAUUCAGAUACAAGUAAGAAAAGCCUGAAAAUCACGACAAGUGCAGGAGGAGGAGCAGCAUCAGAUCUAGUUCGAGCAACGUUUGAGAUUACUCGUGAAGAUUUCAAAAAGUUAAGGGAAAGGGUGUUACCUAAACUAUCAGAUAGUGGGAAAGAAGUGCAUCUAUCAACUUUUGUUCUUUCGUUUGCUUAUGUAACAACUUGCAUGGUGAAAGCUAGAGGAGGAGAUGGAGAUAGAAAAGUUGCUUUCGCAUUCACAGCUGAUUGCAGGCCACGAUUA
This 405-nucleotide long non-coding RNA is filed under the name Gossypium raimondii (Peruvian cotton). RNAcentral's name for it is "long non-coding RNA (GRAI_LNC000830)". The record is from RNAcentral. Lineage: Eukaryota; Viridiplantae; Streptophyta; Magnoliopsida; Malvales; Malvaceae.